GCAAUGGCAAGUGAUCUAUAAAGGAUUUAAAAAACCUAUGACAAAGGAACAGCUUGCAAAAUUGUGCAAGACCAUUGUCAACUUCAUUACACAGACCACCCUGCAGAUCCUGCUGCCGGCCCUGGCCCGCAUUCUAGGGGUGACGGGCUUUUAUGACAACGCUGACUCACUCAAGAGGGGCGGCAGUGCAAGAUCCUUCACUGCCUUUGAGCAGAAAAGACUGGAGCUCAUCCAGGAAGUUAAAUAUUUGGCGAAGGAGAUGUGUAACUGUGGCGGCAAGGCUCUCCAACCAAGGUCUAGCACACCCUCUUCCAAGAGUUCCCAGACCUCACUGAAAGUCCACCUGGGAAUGCCAGAGGACAGUAUCAUCAGCAGUGUCCAGGAGCAACUGUCAAAAUCUGACCAAAUGGUGGCUGCAGGACAGCUUUCACAAAUAGAUAAAGUGGUUGGAACUAUGCUGGAGAACAUUGAGAAGAUAAGCAGCAAAUGUGGCGAGGAAUUGGUCUAUCAAGAGUCACUGCGGUCUUCCUCCUCGUUGUCAUUCUCAACUGCCAAAUCACAGAAGACAGAGUGGGAAUUUGCACUCCCAUUCCUUCUGAGUUACCCGAGAGUACUGCUCAGCCCAUUGUAAGAUGCUCAGUCAUUGACAUGAGCGAAUCUACUAAGCCAAAAACAAUGGUGUGUGAUGCCAGAACAAGCAUGUUUGCCAUAGCCGAUACCAUCAUGAAGAAGGUAUAUCCAGAGGCAGAAGGGCAGGUUACAUCUCACCCUGAUCUAACAGAUGCAAUAGCUAGACUGGAGGAGCUCAUAUAUCAGGGUAGGAUUGGUGCUCUCUCCCGUGAUCUCAGUCACCAAGUGAACCGCAUAAUUUCCGAUAGCAACUUGACCCCUCUGGGACUGACAGUGGUGGCUGGAAAGAGUGCAUCUGAUACCAUCCUUUCGAAGCUGAAGAGGAAUAACAAGGUGUGGAAGCCCACAACUUACGAGCUGGUUCAGCUGUUUGUAGAGGAGUCUGUUAAGUGCCUCCUGCUUCCUAGUUUUGUGCCCUAUUCAACUUCAAUGAGUUUGGCUCAGGGGGCCAAGGUGUUGGCUAGAGUGUCUGAAGAUAGAAUUUCAUGCUCUUCUUCUUCAUCAGUAUUUAGUGACACAGUCAGUCUCUUUACCAAAGUUAUGGUAAGCCAGGUCAUGUACUCUGUGGAUUCUGAUGCAGAAAGUAGAGGAUCCUCUCCAACUGAAUCUCUCCAAACAUCUGAAACCACUAUAUCUGAUGUAGGCAAUCUAUUGAGUGGCAAGUCCUCCCCUGGGCUGUCUCCUUCUGGCGCCAUUAUGGCAACAAGCGAGACCUCCAAUGCAGCACAAAUCUUGAAGGCCAACAUUGAUGGAGAGGAAGUGGAUACCACCAGUCAUUCUGGUGUAGCUCAAAACAUUGUCAGGGACGAUAUGUCAACCAGCCCAGACAUGGUCAAAGAUGUCACACUUCCAACCCCAUCCUCUGAUAACUUGGGCAGUGAUGAUGACUUCACCGGCCUCAUCAGCAUGUUAGUAAUGAGAAUUCUAACAGAAAUCCAAACCCCAGCAGAAGAUUACCCAGUUGACGUCACACGCAAGUCACAAGACCUGAUCCCUAAAGUUAUGGAGGUCUUCUGUGCAUGGUCAGGCUGCUCUGAGACACAAGCCUAUCCAGAGAACUUGAGGAUUCAUAAAGUCUACAGAGUCGUCUAUAAAAAUCUGUUGGAGGAGUUUGGCUCGGAGAAAAUCCUCCAACAGGCCGUGUCGACUCAGGACUCUUCAUUUGAUAGGAUUCUUGUCAAGUCUUUGAGUGAAGCGCUUCUCCACAGAUGUAAUGAGGCAUUGAGGGCAGCCUCAAGAACAUCAGUCAAAACCACCGGGCCUAAGGCUCUUCCACUGGCUGAGGAUGUGAGGGCUAGCAGCGGGAAACUAUCUUUUCUACAAAGGCUGGUCAGGCUGACAAGCAACUUAAAGCUAUUCAAGAAGGGGAACAAGAAGGAUUCCCACCGCUCUGAAUCAGAACAAGUACAGACCACUGCUGAAGAUGGCAUGCUGCCCAGCAUAGUGCCACAUGCUGCCAUGUCUGCACUGCCAAAGGAUCUCCCCGCCAGCUCCCAACAGGAGACGCCUCACAAACGUCCACUUCUCGUCAGAAUGUUUUCUGCCAUCUCCAAAGGCCUGUUCAAGCCCUUCAAACAGUCCUUAAAGACCAAGUAA
Molecule: long non-coding RNA, 2226 nt
Organism: Oncorhynchus mykiss (rainbow trout)
Lineage: Eukaryota; Metazoa; Chordata; Actinopteri; Salmoniformes; Salmonidae
Source: Ensembl